Molecule: unclassified non-coding RNA, 254 nt
Filed under: uncultured Acidimicrobiia bacterium
Lineage: Bacteria; Bacillati; Actinomycetota; Acidimicrobiia
Description: contains 16S-23S intergenic spacer region
Rfam family: Bacterial small subunit ribosomal RNA
Source: RNAcentral
GACGAACCGUACGAACGUUAUUCGGAAUCAUUGGGCGUAAAGAGCUCGUAGGCGGUUCAGCAAGUCGGCUGUGAAAGUCCAAGGCUCAACCUUGGAAAUGCAGUCGAUACUGCUGUGACUAGAGUCUGGUAGAGGAGAAUGGAAUUCCCGGUGUAGCGGUGGAAUGCGCAGAUAUCGGGAGGAACACCAGUAGCGAAGGCGGUUCUCUGGGCUUCGACUGACGCUGAGGAGCGAAAGCAUGGGUAGCAAACAGG